AUUGAACGCUGGCGGCAUGCCUUACACAUGCAAGUCGAACGGUAACGGGUCCUUCUGGAUGCCCACGAGUUGCCAACGGGUGAGUAAUAUAUCGGAACGUGCCCAGUAGUUGGGGAUAACUUCUCGAAAGAGCAGCUAAUACCACAUACGACCUGAUGUUGAAAGGGGGGGAUCGCAAGACCUCUCCCUAUUUGAUCGCCCGUUAUCAGAUUAGCUAGUUGGUUGGGUAAAGGCCUACCAAGGCAACGAUCUGUAGUUGGUCUGAGAGGACGACCAGCCACACUGGGACUGAGACACGGCCCAGACUCCUACGGGAGGCAGCAGUGGGGAAUUUUGGACAAUGGGCGAAAGCCUGAUCCAGCAAUGCCGCGUGCAGGAAGAAGGUCUUCGGGUUGUAAACUGCUUUUGUCAGGGAAGAAAUCAUCUGGGCUAAUACCCCGGGAGGAUGACGGUACCUGAAGAAUAAGCAACGGCUAACUACGUG
Molecule: ribosomal RNA, 484 nt
Filed under: uncultured bacterium
Lineage: Bacteria
Description: partial 16S ribosomal RNA
Rfam family: Bacterial small subunit ribosomal RNA
Source: RNAcentral